Molecule: long non-coding RNA, 264 nt
Organism: Cucurbita moschata (crookneck pumpkin)
Lineage: Eukaryota; Viridiplantae; Streptophyta; Magnoliopsida; Cucurbitales; Cucurbitaceae
Exons: 3
Source: RefSeq, a predicted model, not a curated record
UAUUGUCCUAUCUGAGCUUUCCUUUAAGGCUUAUAUUGUUUUCUUUUGAGCUUCCCUUGAAGGCUUUAAAAUGUGGAGACAUCACCCUUCCUGAGCCCAGUGUCCUCGUUGACACUCCUUCCUUUCUCUAAUUGAUGUAGGACCGCCACCAAAUCCACCUCCUUUUGGGGCCAGCGUCCUUACUGACACAUCGCCUCAUGUCUACUCCUUUGGGGAACAGCCUACUCGCUAGCUCAUAGAACGACCCAAGCCCACCACUAGCAG